AAGGCAUCGGUGAAAAUAAAUUUGAAAACGAAAGCCACGUCAAAGUGCAGAGGAAGAAGAAGAAUGAUAACAGUGACGCGACAAUACUCCAUUCGUCCUCUUCCUCUUUUACUUCUUCUUUUACUUCUUCUUUUACUUCUUCUUUU
This 146-nucleotide non-coding RNA is filed under the name Polytomella parva. Lineage: Eukaryota; Viridiplantae; Chlorophyta; Chlorophyceae; Chlamydomonadales; Chlamydomonadaceae. The record is from RNAcentral.